GUCAAAACCAUCCUUACGCCUCAGAAAGAAAAGGUAAAGAGGUAGCAUCAGGAAAAAGUAAAAGUAGUUUUUCAAAUUGUGUACUUGAAUGAGCUGAGAAGUAUGAAAUAGCAUGAAGGAACUUGGAGCAAAGUGAGCAGACUGAAGAGAGACAAGUGUGAAGGAGAUACCAGCAUAAGGUAUAUGAAAUAUGGUGGCAGCAGCAAGUCUAACAAGACCUACAGAAAGUAAAAAGUGUGAACAAGUAAAGCAGCACUGAGAAGCCAAGCAAACAGAUGGAAGCAUGGAGGAACUUAGACCACUGGGAACGCUGGAUUUCCAGAUGGAGUAUUGCCCAAACAUGGAACAAGAAAGAAGUGCAUUUUAUAUACAGGUGACCUGACUGUAAGGGGAUAAAGGUGAUAAUGCAAAGGAGCUGCCAUUAAGGAUCUGUGACAGUACCAGUGAGAAAAUAAUCUCCUUACCAUGUUCUAUUUAAAAUUAAAUCCUACUGUGCUAAAUAGCCACAUGAGUUUUAGCAGCAGAGGAUCAGAAGCCUUAUUUUGCAAGACAUUCUGUCAUUCUUUACUGCAUGAAAACGUGAAUCAGGGCUUUGCUGUGUGAUUGCUCCCUGAAACAAUAAAACAUUGUCUAUAAAGUUGGAAAACCUGAAUCAAAUUUCAAAGGAUGUAAAUGCAUUCUAUUUAGGUUUGUCAUUAAUAUUUUACUUUUUAAAGAAACCUUUAAAUACCUAAUGUCAUCAUUAAUAUUAACUUUAAUGACAUAUAAGGCCUGUCUUCCACUU
Molecule: long non-coding RNA, 784 nt
Organism: Alligator sinensis (Chinese alligator)
Lineage: Eukaryota; Metazoa; Chordata; Crocodylia; Alligatoridae
Exons: 3
Source: RefSeq, a predicted model, not a curated record